AGAGAUCUCUUUUCUUUUUUUUUUUUUUUUUUUUUUUUUUUUUUUUUUUUUUUGAUUUGCAGGGUUGGCUCAGCUGGCUUACAACAGAUAGAAAGAUAAGAAAAGUGUUUGAUGGAGUGAAUGAUCUGAGUAGACAAAUCGCAAACCCUAACCUUCAAGUGGCUCUGAUACCACUUGGUGCAGCCUGGGUAUGGCUUCUGCUCCUGGAUCACUCGAAGGGGAAUGGAAGAGGGUUGUCUGUGGCGGCUACUAGCACUCUGCUGGACUAUGGACGUCUCUCUCAAGCUAUGGAAUGGCGGCAGAGAUGGUUUGCUACUCAAAGACACAAGAUUACCCUGUAUUCUCUAAGAUGGUUUUCACUAAGGAAUUCCUUCCCUAAGGUCUGAUCAAUGUUCCUUUAGCUGAACAGAGAA
Molecule: long non-coding RNA, 413 nt
Filed under: Brassica napus (rape)
Lineage: Eukaryota; Viridiplantae; Streptophyta; Magnoliopsida; Brassicales; Brassicaceae
Description: long non-coding RNA (BNAP_LNC023344)
Source: RNAcentral